RNAcentral lists this ribosomal RNA (360 nucleotides) under uncultured Pseudomonas sp. RNAcentral's name for it is "bacterial SSU rRNA". It matches the Rfam family "Bacterial small subunit ribosomal RNA", at positions 1028 to 1382 of the family's 1533-position model. The record is from RNAcentral. Lineage: Bacteria; Pseudomonadati; Pseudomonadota; Gammaproteobacteria; Pseudomonadales; Pseudomonadaceae.
GUGACACGAGGUGCUGCAGUGGCUGUCGUCAGCUCGUGUCGUGAGAUGGUUAGGGUUAACGUCCCGUAACGAGCGCAACCCUUGUCCUUAGUUACCAGCACGUUAUGGUGGGCACUCUAAGGAGACUGCCGGUGACAAACCGGAGGAAGGUGGGGAUGACGUCAAGUCAUCAUGGCCCUUACGGCCUGGGCUACACACGUGCUACAAUGGUCGGUACAAAGGGUUGCCAAGCCGCGAGGUGGAGCUAAUCCCAUAAAACCGAUCGUAGUCCGGAUCGCAGUCUGCAACUCGACUGCGUGAAGUCGGAAUCGCUAGUAAUCGUGAAUCAGAAUGUCACGGUGAAUACGUUCCCGGGCCGUU